AUAGAUCAGCCUAUCUUCGGAUAAGCUGCUUUCUUCUUAGAGGGACUUUGUGUUUUUCAGCGCAAGGAAGUUUGAGGCAAUAACAGGUCUGUGAUGCCCUUAGAUGUUCUGGGCUGCACGCGCGCUACACUGAUGCGUUCAACGAGUGUAUCACCUUGCCCGAUAGGGUUGGGUAAUCUUUUGAACACGCAUCGUGAUGGGGAUAGAUUAUUGCAAUUAUUAAUCUUCAACGAGGAAUUCCUAGUAAUGAUGAAUCAUCAGUUCAUCGUGAUUACGUCCCUGCCCUUUGUACACACCGCCCGUCGCUCCUACCGAUUGAGCAAUCCGGUGAAUACUUCGGACCGGUUACUUGGUUGGUUCGCUGACCUUGUGACUGGAAAGUCGAGUGAACCUUAUUGCUUAGAGGAAGGAGAAGUC
This 417-nucleotide ribosomal RNA is filed under the name uncultured eukaryote. Its description in RNAcentral is "SSU rRNA". It matches the Rfam family "Eukaryotic small subunit ribosomal RNA", at positions 1355 to 1790 of the family's 1831-position model. The record is from RNAcentral.